Molecule: long non-coding RNA, 2608 nt
Filed under: Sus scrofa (pig)
Lineage: Eukaryota; Metazoa; Chordata; Mammalia; Artiodactyla; Suidae
Description: lncRNA (ENSSSCG00060031255.1)
Source: RNAcentral
CUCACAGCAACGCUGGAUCCUCAACCCACUGAGCGAGGUCAGGGAUCGAACCCGCAACCUUGUGGCUCCUAGUCGGAUUCGUUAACCACUGAGCCACGACGGGAACUCCAAAAUUUGUAGUUUUUAAUCAAACCCUCAAUGUGUUCUGCUAUUUAAAAUAGAAAAAAAUCCUUGGUGGUCAGGGAGAGGAUGUGAGAGAGAAAGGGACGGAGGGAGGUCAGCGGGGGGAGAGAGAGAGAGCACGGAAAGUGAUUUCAUAACAGUUAUACAAGAAGUUGCUAGGAAACUAUUCACUCAAUUUGUGGAUGAUAAACAUUUUCUUCUUAAGCCCAAAUAAAUAGACCUCAUAUCAUUCCAGCCAUGAGAACACAGCUGUUUUUGUGUUGAGAAGGAGCGGGGUUGGGUGGUGUGUGUGUGUGUGUGUGUGUGUGUGUAGGGAGGGAUGGAGGGAUGGGGGAAGGGAGGACGGGUGAAGCCGAGAAGAGGCAUGUGACCUUCUUCCUGUCCUCGAGAAGGAGCUCAAAUGUCCCUGCAGCCUGCUUCUGCGGAUGCCCCAAGAGGAUGGUCCUGGACGGCAGUGAUGGGGGCCACAAGGAAGCAAUUGAGGUUGGCGUGGCCAGGCCCCCACAUGGGUCCAGGUGGGUUGUAGGCCAUGGAAAUCCAGCAUUGCCUCUAACUGACCGGGUAGGUAAGUUGGCCUGCUUCUGACGUUUAGCCUGACAAAGUCUAUUUGCUUCUAGGCUGCAAGUCACAUUCUCUAAUAUCAGCUUAUUUUUAAAUGUUAUCUCUCCAUGGAUCCAGGGUCAGGGAAAAAGAACACAAUUAGUUGGGCUCUAUCAAACCUCAACAAGAGGAUUAAGAGUAAAAUUUUGAGCAGAAUGUCUAGUUAAUCCUCUCGAAGUACCUUUCUCAAAUCUAUGAUGAUAUUAUUUACAUUGCUGUAAUGAUCCAUAUCUAUUUGCCUUUUCCUCCUCUGGAGGGUGAGUCUUUGCUUUUGGUUGUGCAAUUUGUGCUCCGGACAAAGGUGUCCGGUCUGGGGGACAAAAUGGGUGUUAAAGUCCAGCCAGUGCUGUGCCGGUCAGUAGCUGUGUCUUUGUCUGGGGCCACAUCAGCUCAGAGGGUGAGGCACCUUUUUUCAAAUUUGCACAAAACCUCGCCAUGUGCCGACAAAGCCCUAUGUCCUUGUGUUUGAUGAAUGAAUAUGUGCCUACUCUUUAGAUGGGCUGCACCAUUACUUUACUUAAAUGUAAUCCUUCAGAAGGGAGGACUGGCAUCCACUUUUAACUCAUUUUUCAUCAUCUACUGUAAAAGACAAGAAGCCGAUAUAUCAUGCAGGGCCCAGGAAGAGUUGUGAAGGGGGAGUAUAUCUGCUUUGCCAGGUUACUCCCUUAAUUUCCAUUGUUAUUAUUUUCUAUUAGUAUUAUUGUUAUUAUUACAUUUAAGAGUGGGGGGGGGGAAGCAAUGGAUUUAAAGUCAGGAAACCUAAAAUCUGAACCUUAGACUCUGAUUCUAAAUGAAAAUCCUGUAGAUCUCAAUGGUUUGUGGUAAGGACAACGCAAGACAUUACUCGUGAAAAAGUGUUGCACACCAUAAAUUCCUACAGGUGUUAGAGGUUAUUCCUAUUCCUAUUCCCUGAUGGCCUAAAUUAUCCUCAGAAGUGGUUGCCAGUUUAAUUAAUGUGUAAGACUUGCUCUGGCAAUGUUGAUUCUAAUGAUAACAACAUAACACGCUUAUUUCUAGAAAACACCUAGAGCCAUCUCUUUGAAUUAUUUAUUUUCCAACAGGUUUUUAUUGGUCUUGCAAUGUAAUUUGAAGGGGUCUGAGCCUACCUGCUAACGAGCAUUCCAUUUAGCAUCUGCAUGUCUUACUCUGCACAUAUGUCUGCUUCUCUUUCUGUGGUUUAGCAGUUGGUUAAAGAGCUGAUUUCAAACAGAUUCUUCUUGACAAAGCCAUUCUGCUCAUCAACGAGACUUUGCUCCAUCUCACACUUUUUCUAACCAAAUGUAUUCUAACAGAUCUGGAGAAUCUUUCCAAUGUCCUUCUGUAUUAAAGUCCUUCGAGAGUGUAACCCUGAUGAUUUUGUUGAAAAGGGCGGAAAACCCCCAAUUGAUCCAGCAGAUGGUAGAGGCAUCAACAAGUCUUUGUGUUUCUCCAUAAUCUUCCUGACUAUAGUUCCCAAGAAAUACACAGCACAAGACAUAGAGUAGAUGAGGCAGGUAGAACAACCUCAAGGGCAAAAGCAAAGUCAAAGCAGGAAGACUGGAAAGCUUAAUGGCUAAGGACAUGGAUACCAGAUGGGUUGGAAUCCACAUAUCCAACUGCUGGAAUUAGACAGGCCUGGUUCAAAUCCCAGCUCUACCACAUACUUCUUUGUUUUAGCCUCAGUUUUCUGGUCAUGAAAAUGUGGCUAACAGUCCUCACUCCAUAGCAUUGGCAGAGGGAUCAAAUGAGGAAUAUGCUCUAAGAACAAUGUCUGGAGCACAGUAGUCACCCAUUACUUGGUUGUCAGGACUCUAAUUAUUCUGUCACUUGUAAUGUCUUGAUUGGUAGUUUCUAGACACUGCAGAAUGUAAAUAAAGCAGCUGUGGUGGUGAAGAGCUUGGGAAGU